CAGCCGCCGCGGGAAUACGUAGGUGGCAAGCGUUGUCCGGAAUUAUUGGGCGUAAAGGGCUCGCAGGCGGUUUCUUAAGUCUGAUGUGAAAGCCCCCGGCUCAACCGGGGAGGGUCAUUGGAAACUGGGAAACUUGAGUGCAGAAGAGGAGAGUGGAAUUCCACGUGUAGCGGUGAAAUGCGUAGAGAUGUGGAGGAACACCAGUGGCGAAGGCGACUCCCUGGUCUGUAACUGACGCUGAGGAGCGAAAGCGUGGGGAGCGAACAGGAUUAGAUACCCCUGUAGUCCCUGUCUCUUAUAC
Molecule: ribosomal RNA, 301 nt
Filed under: uncultured bacterium
Lineage: Bacteria
Description: partial 16S ribosomal RNA
Rfam family: Bacterial small subunit ribosomal RNA
Source: RNAcentral